RNAcentral lists this ribosomal RNA (424 nucleotides) under uncultured bacterium. RNAcentral describes it as "partial 16S ribosomal RNA". It matches the Rfam family "Bacterial small subunit ribosomal RNA", at positions 360 to 776 of the family's 1533-position model. The record is from RNAcentral.
AAUAUUCGACAAUGGGCGUGAGCCUGAUCCCGCCAUGCCGCGUGUGUGAAGAAGGUCUUCGGAUUGUAAAGUACUUUACUUUGGGAGGAAGGGCAGUUCACGAAUACUCAACUGUUUUGACGUUACCAAAAGAAUAAGCACCGGCUAACCUCGUGCCAGGUGCCGCGGUAAUACGAAGGGUGCAAGCGUUAAGCGGAAUUACUGGGCGUAAAGGGGGCGGAGGUGGUUCGUUAAGUUGGAAGUGAAAGCCCCGGGCUCAACCUGGGAAUUGCUUUCAAAACUGGCGAGCUAGAGUACGGUAGAGGGUGGUGGAAUUUCCUGUGUAGCGGUGAAAUGCGUAGAUAUAGGAAGGAACAUCAGUGGCGAAGGCGACCACCUGGACUGAUACUGACACUGAGGUGCGAAAGCGUGGGAAGCAAACAGG